This 429-nucleotide ribosomal RNA is filed under the name bacterium. RNAcentral describes it as "partial 16S ribosomal RNA". It matches the Rfam family "Bacterial small subunit ribosomal RNA", at positions 355 to 776 of the family's 1533-position model. The record is from RNAcentral.
UAGGGAAUCUUCGGCAAUGGGGGCAACCCUGACCGAGCAACGCCGCGUGAGUGAAGAAGGUUUUCGGAUCGUAAAGCUCUGUUGUAAGAGAAGAACGUGUGUGAGAGUGGAAAGUUCACACAGUGACGGUAACUUACCAGAAAGGGACGGCUAACUACGUGCCAGCAGCCGCGGUAAUACGUAGGUCCCGAGCGUUGUCCGGAUUUAUUGGGCGUAAAGCGAGCGCAGGCGGUUUAAUAAGUCUGAAGUUAAAGGCAGUGGCUUAACCAUUGUUCGCUUUGGAAACUGUUAAACUUGAGUGCAGAAGGGGGGAGUGGAAUUCCAUGUGUAGCGGGGAAAUGCGUAGAUAUAUGGAGGAACACCGGUGGCGAAAGCGGCUCUCGGGUCUGUAACUGACGCUGAGGCUCGAAAGCGUGGGGAGCAAACAGG